Molecule: long non-coding RNA, 300 nt
Filed under: Elaeis guineensis (African oil palm)
Lineage: Eukaryota; Viridiplantae; Streptophyta; Magnoliopsida; Arecales; Arecaceae
Description: long non-coding RNA (EGUI_LNC073146)
Source: RNAcentral
GCUGCUGUCUCAUUAGCUGUAUCGUCUACUCCAUCUAUGCCAUCCACUCUAUCAUCUAGAUCUGGAGCUGCUGAUACUCAUCGAUGCAUGCAGUCAACUCCUGAGCUCGCUGCUCAGCCUGCUGUCGAUCCUCGACAGCCUGUCUCUACACAUUCAUCAGCUAAGCCUUGCACGUAGAAUGGAUGUCAGUCCUAGAUGAGCAUAAGGAUGAGGAAGUAGUGAUCCCAUAUCCUAGACCCCUAACAUAAUAGGGUCUCAUACCAAGCACCCGAUCACAGAUCUCAUCAUCUGUGGGUGCAA